This 451-nucleotide long non-coding RNA is filed under the name Schistocerca americana (American grasshopper). Its description in RNAcentral is "uncharacterized LOC124607379". The record is from RNAcentral. Lineage: Eukaryota; Metazoa; Arthropoda; Insecta; Orthoptera; Acrididae.
CGAGUCUGUCGGUGCCGCGAGUGGCAUUGCCUGCGUGUGCGUGCGUGUGUGUGCUCCGCUUGUACGUCCGGUCGGCAGUAGCGAGCUGUUUCCGUGUACAGUGCUUGCUGUGCGUUUACAGACAGCACCGUCUGGGGGUCGACAACUGCACGGGGGCAGGUGCGACGCAGAAUCCUCCAGCCGCUGAUGUGGCUUGUGUCAGCUGCCCGCCACGCCAUUCCAGACAUUCGACCGGCCUGAAGAGUGGCGCGCCACACUGUGGGAGGGCCGCAGCCGCCAGAUGGAGCCGAGGUGCAGCGCCUGCCCGGACUGACCCACACAACUGGCUGCCAAGGACGCGGCAUGAAGUCUGGCUCUACGGCGGUGGAGGCGGCUGUGCCGGUGCCGGUGGCCGCCCCCCGCUUCUGCCCCCGGAGGCGGGAGCGGGAGCGCGCCAUCGCCCCCGGUGUGG